This 253-nucleotide ribosomal RNA is filed under the name uncultured bacterium. Its description in RNAcentral is "partial 16S ribosomal RNA". It matches the Rfam family "Bacterial small subunit ribosomal RNA", at positions 524 to 776 of the family's 1533-position model. The record is from RNAcentral.
UACGGAGGGUGCGAGCGUUGUCCGGAAUCAUUGGGCGUAAAGGGCGCGUAGGUGGCCCGCUCAGCGUGCGGUGAAAGCUCGGGGCUCAACCCCGAGUCGGCCGUGCGAACUGAGUCGCUUGAGCACUGUAGAGGCAGGCGGAAUUCCGGGUGUAGCGGUGGAAUGCGUAGAGAUCCGGAAGAACACCGGUGGCGAAGGCGGCCUGCUGGGCAGUAGCUGACACUGAGGCGCGACAGCGUGGGGAGCAAACAGG